CCUACGGUAGACAGCAGUGAGGAAUAUUGGUCAAUGGACGCAAGUCUGAACCAGCCAUGCCGCGUGCAGGAUGACGGCCCUAUGAGUUGUAAACUGCUUUUGUACGAGGGUAAACGCAGAUACGCGUAUCUGUCUGAAAGUACCGUACGAAUAAGGAUCGGCUAACUCCGUGCCAGCAGCCGCGGUAAUACGGAGGGUUCAAGCGUUAUCCGGAUUUAUUGGGUUUAAAGGGUGCGUAGGCGGUCGGAUAAGUUAGAGGUGAAAUGCCGAGGCUCAACUUCGGAAUUGCCUCUGAUACUGUUCGGCUAGAGAGUAGUUGCGGUAGGCGGAAUGUAUGGUGUAGCGGUGAAAUGCUUAGAGAUCAUACAGAACACCGAUUGCGAAGGCAGCUUACCAAGCUACUUCUGACGUUGAGGCACGAAAGCGUGGGUAGCAAACAGGAUUAGAUACCCGGGUAGUC
Molecule: ribosomal RNA, 460 nt
Filed under: uncultured bacterium
Lineage: Bacteria
Description: partial 16S ribosomal RNA
Rfam family: Bacterial small subunit ribosomal RNA
Source: RNAcentral